AGUGAACGCUGGCGGUAGGCCUAACACAUGCAAGUCGAACGGCAGCACGGGAAGAGCUCGCUCUUACGGGUGGCGAGUGGCGGAUGGGUGACAAGUGCAUCGGAAUCUACUCAUUCGGGGGUGAUAACGUAGGGAAACAUACACUAAUACCGCAUACGACCUACGGUUGAGAUCAGGAGAUCUUUGGACCUUGCGUGACGGAAUGAGCCGAUGCCGGAUUCGCUAGUUGGCUUGGUAAUGGCCCAGCAAGGCGACGAUCCGCAGCUGGCCUGAGAGGAUGCUCCGCCCCACUGGACCUGAGACACGGUCCAGCCUCCUACGGGAGGCCGCCGUAGGGAAUAUUCGACCAUGGGCGCAAGCCUGAUCCAGCCAUGCCGCGUGCGUGAAGAAGGCCUUCGGAUUGUACAGCCCUUUUGUUGGGAAAGAAAAUCUGUGGGUUUAUCCCCCGCUGUUAUGACGGUACCCAACCACUAAGCACCGGCUAACUUCGUG
This 492-nucleotide ribosomal RNA is filed under the name uncultured bacterium. RNAcentral describes it as "partial 16S ribosomal RNA". It matches the Rfam family "Bacterial small subunit ribosomal RNA", at positions 29 to 507 of the family's 1533-position model. The record is from RNAcentral.